CCUACGGGAGGCAGCAGUAAGGAAUAUUGGUCAAUGGACGCAAGUCUGAACCAGCCAUGCCGCGUGCAGGAUGACGGCCCUCUGGGUUGUAAACUGCUUUUAUACGGGAAGAAACCUCUGGUUGCGAUCAGAGCUGACGGUACCGUAAGAAUAAGGACCGGCUAACUUCGUGCCAGCAGCCGCGGUAAUACGAAGGGUCCAAGCGUUAUCCGGAUUUAUUGGGUUUAAAGGGUGCGUAGGCGGCUUAUUAAGUCAGUGGUGAAAGACUUCAGCUUAACUGAAGAACUGCCAUUGAUACUGAUGAGCUUGAAUAUACUUGAGGUGGGCGGAAUGUGUCAUGUAGCGGUGAAAUGCUUAGAUAUGACACAGAACACCGAUUGCGAAGGCAGCUCGCUAAAGUAUGAUUGACGCCGAUGCACGAAAGCGUGGGGAGCAAACAGGAUUAGAUACCCUGGUAGUCCACGCCCUAAACGUUGAUAACUCGAUGUGUGCGAUAUACAGUACGCGUCCAAGCGAAAGCAUUAAGUUAUCCUACCGUGAGUUAGUCGNGAGAGUUAGANANAANAGAGUUAGAGGCGNGAGAGNGCGAGACGACGACGAGGAGUAG
Molecule: ribosomal RNA, 607 nt
Filed under: uncultured bacterium
Lineage: Bacteria
Description: bacterial SSU rRNA
Rfam family: Bacterial small subunit ribosomal RNA (bases 1-536)
Source: RNAcentral